This 289-nucleotide ribosomal RNA is filed under the name uncultured bacterium. RNAcentral's name for it is "partial 16S ribosomal RNA". It matches the Rfam family "Bacterial small subunit ribosomal RNA", at positions 335 to 620 of the family's 1533-position model. The record is from RNAcentral.
UGGCCUACGGGAGGCAGCAGUGAGGAAUAUUGGUCAAUGGGCGGAAGCCUGAACCAGCCAAGUCGCGUGAGGGAAGAAGGCCCUGCGGGUCGCAGACCUCUUUGGACGGGGAGCAAGGCCGCCGACGUGUCGGCGGAAGGAGAGUACCCGUAGAACAAGCAUCGGCUAACUCCGUGCCAGCAGCCGCGGUAAUACAGAGGUCUCACGCGUUGUUCGGAAUCACUGGGCGUAAAGCGUGCGUAGGCUGUUUCGUAAGUCGUGUGUGAAAGGCGCGGGCUCAACCCGCGGA